RNAcentral lists this ribosomal RNA (254 nucleotides) under uncultured bacterium. Its description in RNAcentral is "partial 16S ribosomal RNA". It matches the Rfam family "Bacterial small subunit ribosomal RNA", at positions 524 to 776 of the family's 1533-position model. The record is from RNAcentral.
UACGGGGGGAGCAAGCGUUGUUCGGAUUUACUGGGCGUAAAGGGCGCGUAGGCGGCCACCGCAAGUCAAUUGUGAAAUCUCCGGGCUUAACUCGGAAAGGUCAACUGAUACUGCGGGGCUAGAGUGCGGAAGGGGCAACUGGAAUUCUCGGUGUAGCGGUGAAAUGCGUAGAUAUCAAGAGGAACACCUGCGGCGAAGGCGGGUUGCUGGGCUGACACUGACGCUGAGGCGCGAAAGCUAGGGGAGCGAACGGG